This 301-nucleotide non-coding RNA is filed under the name Caballeronia choica. Lineage: Bacteria; Pseudomonadati; Pseudomonadota; Betaproteobacteria; Burkholderiales; Burkholderiaceae. The record is from RNAcentral.
AGACUUGCUCGCAAUUCUGGUGCUCGCGCGCGUUGGUCUUUCGCGCGCGGUUAAACGGGAAGCAGGAAGCGGCCGAUCCGCCACGGACGAACCGCCAACCUGCGCUGCCCCCGCAACGGUAAGCGAAAGCCGCGCGUCAUGCUUCAUGCGUAGAUCGCAUGAUUCACGCGCGGCAGAGCCGGCUUCGGUGCAUGUGCGAUGGUCGUGCACACGCAUUGCUCCACUGCGCAACGCAUCACGCGCGGGAAGGUGAAGCGGCGUUUUCGUCAGCCCGGAUACCGGCCAGAAAAUCGAACGGAUC